AGUGAACGCCGGCGGUAGGCCUAACACAUGCAAGUCGAACGGCAGCACAGUAAGAGCUUGCUCUUACGGGUGGCGAGUGGCGGGCGGGUGAGGAAUACAUCGGAAUCUACUUUUUCGUGGGGGAUAACGUAGGGAAACUUACGCUAAUACCGCAUACGACCUACGGGUGAAAGCAGGGGAUCUUCGGACCUUGCGCGAUUGAAUGAGCCGAUGUCGGAUUAGCUAGUUGGCGGGGUAAAGGCCCACCAAGGCGACGAUCCGUAGCUGGUCUGAGAGGAUGAUCAGCCACACUGGAACUGAGACACGGUCCAGACUCCUACGGGAGGCAGCAGUGGGGAAUAUUGGACAAUGGGCGCAAGCCUGAUCCAGCCAUACCGCGUGGGUGAAGAAGGCCUUCGGGUUGUAAAGCCCUUUUGUUGGGAAAGAAAAGCAGCAGGUUAAUACCCCGCUGUUCUGACGGUACCCAAAGAAUAAGCACCGGCUAACUUCGUG
This 492-nucleotide ribosomal RNA is filed under the name uncultured bacterium. RNAcentral describes it as "partial 16S ribosomal RNA". It matches the Rfam family "Bacterial small subunit ribosomal RNA", at positions 29 to 507 of the family's 1533-position model. The record is from RNAcentral.